RNAcentral lists this ribosomal RNA (624 nucleotides) under Deronectes parvicollis. Its description in RNAcentral is "partial 16S ribosomal RNA". The stretch from base 385 to 543 matches the Rfam family "Bacterial large subunit ribosomal RNA", at positions 2473 to 2632 of the family's 2925-position model. The record is from RNAcentral. Lineage: Eukaryota; Metazoa; Arthropoda; Insecta; Coleoptera; Dytiscidae.
GUCCUUUAGAAAUUAUAAUUUAAGGUCUAACCUGCCCACUGAAAUAUUUAAAGGCCGCAGUAAUUUGACUGUGCAAAGGUAGCAUAAUCAUUAGUUUUUUAAUUAAAAGCUUGUAUGAAUGGUUGGACGAAAUAAAAUCUGUCUCUAAAUUAAAAUUAGAAUUUAAUUUUUAAGUUAAAAAGCUUAAAUAAUUAUAAAAGACGAGAAGACCCUAUAGAUCUUUAUAUAAUUAUUUAUAGUUUUAUUUAAGAUUUUUUUAUUAAUUAUAUUUAAUUAUAUUUUAUUGGGGUAAUAAAAAGAUUAAAUUAAUUCUUUUUUAAGUUUAACAAUAAUAAUUGAUUAAUUGAUCCAUUAAUAGUGAUUAUAAGAUUAAGUUACCUUAGGGAUAACAGCGUAAUUUUUUUAAAGAGUUCAUAUCGAUAAAAAAGUUUGCGACCUCGAUGUUGGAUUAAAAGUUAUUUUGGGUGUAGAAGUUCAAAAUUUUGGUCUGUUCGACCAUUAAAUUUUUACAUGAUCUGAGUUCAGACCGGCGUAAGCCAGGUCGGUUUCUAUCUUUAUUUAAUUAUUAUAUUUUAGUACGAAAGGACCAAAUAUAAAAUAUAUUAAUAUUUAAAUUUUGAAUAA